UACGGAGGGUGCAAGCGUUAUCCGGAUUUACUGGGUUUAAAGGGUGCGUAGGCGGACAGGUAAGUCUGUGGUGAAAUCUCUGGGCUUAACCCAGAAACUGCCGUUGAUACUAUUUGUCUUGAAUAUCCUGGAGGUAGGCGGAAUAUGUCAUGUAGCGGUGAAAUGCUUAGAUAUGACAUAGAACACCGAUAGCGAAGGCAGCUUACUACAGGAUGAUUGACGCUGAGGCACGAAAGCGUGGGGAGCAAACAGG
RNAcentral lists this ribosomal RNA (253 nucleotides) under uncultured bacterium. RNAcentral describes it as "partial 16S ribosomal RNA". It matches the Rfam family "Bacterial small subunit ribosomal RNA", at positions 524 to 776 of the family's 1533-position model. The record is from RNAcentral.